RNAcentral lists this ribosomal RNA (343 nucleotides) under uncultured Pseudomonadota bacterium. Its description in RNAcentral is "bacterial SSU rRNA". It matches the Rfam family "Bacterial small subunit ribosomal RNA", at positions 29 to 351 of the family's 1533-position model. The record is from RNAcentral. Lineage: Bacteria; Pseudomonadati; Pseudomonadota.
AACGAACGCUGGCGGCGUGCUUAAUACAUGCAAGUCGUACGAGAAAGUCCUGCUUCGGCGGGGCGAGUAAAGUGGCGAACGGGUGCGUAACACGUGGGUAACCUGCCCCGAAGUCCGGGACAAGCUCCCGAAAGGGGGUCUAAUACCGGAUAAUAUCCUUAAGGGGAUUCCCUUGGGGAUCAAAGCUGGCCACUAUUUAUAAGCUAUCACUUUGGGAUGGGCCCGCGGUUCAUUAGCUUGUUGGCGAGAUAAUAGCUCACCAAGGCUACGAUGGAUAGCCGGCCUGAGAGGGUGUACGGCCACACUGGGACUGAGAUACGGCCCAGACUCCUACGGGUGGCUG